Molecule: long non-coding RNA, 758 nt
Organism: Triticum dicoccoides
Lineage: Eukaryota; Viridiplantae; Streptophyta; Magnoliopsida; Poales; Poaceae
Exons: 4
Source: RefSeq, a predicted model, not a curated record
GGCGAGCUCAAGGGAGACAGUGUGACCUUGGCCAACAUCCCUCUUCGCCCUGCCUCAUCAGGCAUUACUGGAGUCUUUGGAGUUUCCUCCCUAGCGUUGGUCGAUGAGCAACUUUGCCAAGUACUGGGCCAACCUGAUUGCGAAGGUCGAUGGGACUGGUGGUGCUUUUUGUGAUUUCGCUUGCCUCUAGGAUAUCCUUUGCCAAGAAGUUGAGAGGCACAACAAACCAGAGGUGGAGCUUAAGAAAAAUUUAGCCUUAUAGAUGCAUGACGGCAGUGGCGACUUGGUGCCAAACUUUGGGCCAUCGCAAAAGGUGGCACGUCGAAGAGAUCUAUGCUGGUGAUGGUGGACCCGGAGUGAUCUUGGGCGAGAAGACUGAGCGAUGGAGCCUGGUCCAUGGGAAAUCAACAGGUCAGUACUCAAAAUCUUCCUGAAAUGCAAGGCCUUGCUCCUCUGUAGGCCAGUACUCCAGAUCUUCCUGAAGGAGGACGGUGUGGUGAACCCCAAGACCAUCUUCAUCAUCGGCAGCACCGAGUACUAGAAGCUGGUUGUCUUGGAUUAGAUUCAUCAGGUUAGUUAGUUUUGUCGUGGUGUUUGAUUAGCUUCUUGUUUUCAGAAUCGUGGUGAAUAGAUAGCUCUGCUUUUGUUUGAUUUUAGUUGUGGAACAUGUUGCUUUCAUGCUUUGGUAGGACGAGUUUGGUAAUCCUUGGUUUGGGGUGAUUGAUCAUCCGAUGUAGUAAUGGAUCAUCCUUGGUUUG